AACCCUGGGCAAUGGGCAAAGAGACACCUUAUUGGUGGUGUUAUUUACAUCAGUCAGGGGCAAAGUGGACGGCAGUUGUUUGUUCAUCCUAGUUUGAUGUCUGGCUUAGUGGCAAAAGCUAUUUUAUGCCUAGGACACAUAA
Acomys russatus (golden spiny mouse) is the source of this 142-nucleotide small nucleolar RNA. RefSeq annotates it as small nucleolar RNA SNORA48. Lineage: Eukaryota; Metazoa; Chordata; Mammalia; Rodentia; Muridae. The transcript has a single exon. The record is from RefSeq and is a predicted model, not a curated record.